Molecule: long non-coding RNA, 934 nt
Organism: Nicotiana tabacum (common tobacco)
Lineage: Eukaryota; Viridiplantae; Streptophyta; Magnoliopsida; Solanales; Solanaceae
Source: RefSeq, a predicted model, not a curated record
UAAAAAUCUGCCGUGCCCUUGUUACCCGCAGCUUCCUAAAACAGGGAAGGCGAUGAACAGCUGCAGCGUUCCCCUGUUCUCCAAAAAUGGUCUCACCACUCCUCAAAUCAUUGUCGCUCUUCUCAGAAAUUCUCCCUUUCCGGACUUGUCCAAUUUAUAUCAUUGAAUCAUUGAUGCUGAAGCUACAAAGUGAGUGCCCAUGGUCUAGAUUUUCUUUCCCAAAUAAAAAUCCCUUAUGCUGCUGCAGUUAUUUACUGAUCUGUUGGGAAAUCAGCUGCUUGACAGGGCUUUAGACAAACUGGAACAGGAAAUUUGCAGAGGGGGAGGGAGGGAUAGAAUCUGAUGGAAUAAGAAUUACAGGGGUAAGUUUUACUGGUAAAGGUUGCCAAUGUGUUUUGGCAAACAUGAAAUAUUGUAUACUCCCGGCCAUGGAAAAGGAUAUGGAAAAUUAAAGCUCCAAAGUAAUUUCUCUCCGCUGGAUACUGAUGUGUGAAGCUUUCUUAACGCAAGACAACUUGUUGAAGAGAGGAUUUAAACUUUUGAAUAGAUGCUUUCUAUGCAAAACAUUUGCUGCUACACUGUGUGGUAGCCAGAGAUAUAUGGAGCAUGGUCUUAAACAUUUGUGGAAUUCAAGGGGUUAAUUCCAAACAGUCCUAAGGAUGCUUUGGUAAGCUGGUGGCUAUGGAAAGUGGAGAAAGGAAAGGAAAAAGAUACGGCAGGUAGUACCAAGCUGUAUUUCUAGACACGGAGAAAGAAAUGCAAGAUGAAGAUGCCUUGAAGAGACCUCUGUAUUGGACUUGAAGCCUAUAGAUUUGGAGAUAGGUCGCGAGAUUGAAUAGCUCUCUAUGUGCAUUUCUUUGCCAUUAUGGCAGGCGGGUUUACUUUCCCUUCCUUUCCAUUUUCACUUUCCAACCCUUCCCUUCGAUAACUACUA